Molecule: ribosomal RNA, 253 nt
Filed under: uncultured bacterium
Lineage: Bacteria
Description: partial 16S ribosomal RNA
Rfam family: Bacterial small subunit ribosomal RNA
Source: RNAcentral
UACGGAGGGGGCAAGCGUUGUUCGGAAUUAUUGGGCGUAAAGCGUAUGUAGGCGGCUAAGUAAGUCAGGCGUGCAAGCCCGUGGCUCAACCACGGAAUUGCGUUUGAAACUGUUUAGCUUGAGUACAGGAGAGGAAAGCGGAAUUCCCAGUGUAGCGGUGAAAUGCAUUGAUAUCAAGAGGAAUACCGGUGGCGAAAGCGGCUGGCUGGGGCCACUCUGACGCUGAGGCGCGAAAGCGUGGGGAGCAAACAGG